UCUGAAACCGCACCGAGGCAGAUAGUUUUUUUCCACACUGACGUAAAUAAAAUAUAGAGUAUUAUUGGCAAAUAAAUAUUCUAUACGAUACAUGUAGUGCGCGAUUUUGAUCAACCUACGGAUACCGGCUGGAAUACAGACCUGACGAGCGUGGCAAUGGUCCAAGAAAAGAGGCCACGAAGAAAAGCUGCUGAACUUCGAAUGUUCCAUGAAACAACCGUCAUCAGCUGACGUCACUAUAUGCUGCAGAACCUCAGUUUCCUCGACAGCAAGUUAGAGCCCAUCACCGCAAUCGCACCUUUUGUGUUGCUUUUUUGCCCUGCUACGACAGAGACUCGUUAUCACCUGUUAUCGACAAUGCGUGGGAUGUUUGACACGGACACGGAAGAUCAUAUUAUGGACCUGCUGUGUGGUGGUUCCUGGAUUAAUUGUUUUGGAUUAGAGCCGAGGCUAGCGUCUCUACGACGAAUGGCAAAAGUUUGAAUCUUCUCACGGAUAUGGAGCUAUAGAGCAUGCAUCGGAGAAAACCUUGUAAAGUGCUGGCGGAUCGCACCCUUAUUUUGCCUUCCAAAUCAGCACACAUCGCACAAUGAGUGUAUAAAUCUGGAAGGGGGAGUAAUUAUGCGCAAUGUUAUUUUGGAAGGCAGUGAUUCAGAUCCACGAGAAGCAAAACAAGCUGGUAAAGAAGGAGCUACUAGUAACGCCAACGACGAUGGAACGGUCGGGAAAUGUUUGACUUGUUUUCGAUAAGUUGGCUACAACGGUGACUUUUUCUGCCGGUUUCCAGACUCCCCGGAUGUAAAAGCUAUUCACUUCCGGAACCACUUCAAUCCGGUCUAGAAGGUAACAUUUAAAGAACUCCCAAUGCUGGUGGACGCGACAAUUCAUAAGGCAAACAAGGGAACCGAAACUUGACACUGACUAAAAUUGGAAUUGUCUAAAAUGAUCGACAAAAUACGACCUUCAACGGAUAUGCUAAGUCCGUCAAGAGCUGGAAUUUGGAAAAGGAUUCCGACAGCAAUCAAAUAAUAUGCCAAAUGGCUCGUACCACAUCAACUUAUGAAGGCAAACAUCGGAACCGUGAUGUUAUUAGGAAUGGCUGCAUAUACACUGCUCACUAAUAACUGUGGAAGUGCUUAAUGAACACUAAGCUGCGAGGCGGCUCUGUCCCAGUGUGGGGUGUAAUGCCAAUAAGAAGAAGAAGGUACCGUCAACUGGGGGGAAGAUGAUCAUUUUUAAGACAAAACAUGCAAUAACAAUGGGUGUUUACAUUUUAAAUCGAAACAAAUAUUUUCAAAACAUGUACUGCUAUACGUUGCAAUAAUCAACAACUUUAGUUUUCUGAAAUGCAUUCGCAUUUAUUAAAAUAAAUUAAAUUAUCACACAUUUUUUGAGUAAUCUGGUUUGGGGUGAAGUUGAUCAAGACAGCUCUACUAAAAUCAUUAUGACCUAGUAGUCAAAAUACACUAGGUUAUUUGUAUGAAUGUUGAAUUUACUACGUAAAGAAGUCUACGAAGUCAAUAUUUGAAACGAAAAUAGCGUCAUUUAUGACUAUCUCUCUCUUUCUUCCACAAAAUGCAUUUUCAUGAUUAUAAUCGUAAAACUCGGAUUUUUACCUAGCGGUAACAUUACUUGAACGGAGAAUAUUGUUGACUACCGUUUCAAAAAAAAAAAAUGAUCAUCUUUACCUCAAUGAUCAUCUUCCCCCCAGUUGACGGUAUUGGUUACAAAAGUUUCAUGGUUUGCUAAGAGCGGAAUUUCAGUUCAAUGUCUGGAAGUAGUUACGGUUUUACCUAGUCAUUCGAUAAUAAAUAUGUAGAAACCGGAAGCAGCUGUUAAUCGUCGCAAACCUAAAAAUAAGGUGGUAUACUCCGACGGCCUUGUGUUGGAACCAAUAAAGGGGUUCAGGAUAACAACAUUUGCUUUACUACGACUACCGAUGCAGAAGAUUAUGAGAACGCCGGCGCUCAGAUCCUCCAAAGAAGCAAAAUGGGAAUAUUGCCAAAUUCGGAAACUCGUCGAGAGCAGAAAAUUAGUGAAACAGCUAAUGAAAACAAUAUUCGCCAGAUGCGCUCAAUUUUUCAUUUUUCAUUGAUUAUAUUUACGGAGAUACAUUUGCAUGACUUGGUAACUCGCAUUGCUGCCCACACUACCGUAAUAUGUAAUAAAUUAC
Armigeres subalbatus is the source of this 2173-nucleotide long non-coding RNA. RefSeq lists it as uncharacterized. The record is from RefSeq and is a predicted model, not a curated record. The transcript is spliced from 5 exons. Lineage: Eukaryota; Metazoa; Arthropoda; Insecta; Diptera; Culicidae.